This 73-nucleotide transfer RNA is filed under the name Marmota monax (woodchuck). RNAcentral's name for it is "tRNA.Ala". The stretch from base 5 to 67 matches the Rfam family "tRNA", at positions 5 to 66 of the family's 71-position model. From Rfam's summary of the family: Transfer RNA (tRNA) molecules are approximately 80 nucleotides in length. Their secondary structure includes four short double-helical elements and three loops (D, anti-codon, and T loops). Further hydrogen bonds mediate the characteristic L-shaped molecular structure. tRNAs have two regions of fundamental functional importance: the anti-codon, which is responsible for specific mRNA codon recognition, and the 3' end, to which the tRNAs corresponding amino acid is attached (by aminoacyl-tRNA synthetases). tRNAs cope with the degeneracy of the genetic code in two manners: having more than one tRNA (with a specific anti-codon) for a particular amino acid; and 'wobble' base-pairing, i.e. permitting non-standard base-pairing at the 3rd anti-codon position. The record is from RNAcentral. Lineage: Eukaryota; Metazoa; Chordata; Mammalia; Rodentia; Sciuridae.
GGGGUUGUGGCUCAGUAGUAGAGUGCACGCCUAGCACGCAUGAGGCACUGGGUUCGAUCCUCAGCAAUACACA